UUUAAACCGGUUAAAAGAUUUAAUCUUCAACCUGUUUUCCAACCCACAUCAGAGUGGAGGGUAAACACUGAAUGGUCACAAGCCAGAAUGCAGGGUGGUGGGAGAAACAGACAGCACGGGAGGUCUGGGGUGCAUUGGGGGAAACCGAGGCCAGGAGCCUCAGCAGAAAUGGUCAGUCCCUAAGCAUGUGUGCUUUCCAGCCAUUCUUUAAUGGCUUCCCACCCCAGCUUCUCUCCAGUUUGUGAGGCUCCUGGCAAGGCUGGGGUUCUGUGUGGAGGUUUAAAAGCAAGGCGUUAGCCCUCCUUUUCAUCCAGUUCCAGCCCCUUGCUUGGGGUCUGCCUCAACGGACUCUAAGGCUACCCUUGGCAAGAGGUACUGACCUGGGUGGUGGGGAAAGACUUUCCUCUAACUGGAGAGGACCCCGGGGGUGUACUUGUGAAAUCAAAGAGAAAAGACAUUUGGGGUGGGGUCUUCAAACAUGGUCUGGAUCCCUUCUUUUCUUUGGGAUCCUACAGCUGCCUACACUCACAUUAUGAGGCAAGAUCAAAAGGAAUAUGGAGCGCUCUUGGCUGGGCCGCUGGGCUUUUGUUCUGUUCUGAAGAAUGUGUGGGGAUUUGGAAACCUCAGGUGGCCUCCGGUCUUUAGUUCAGAAAUAGCACCUAUGAAUAGCACUGCCAGAUAGGUCCAGUGGGUAUCAUCUUCCCGUAGAAACCUCCUCCAGAUGUCUCAGGAUGGAAGCCCAGGGACAAGGGAAGAGAUACCUCUGAGUGCAGUGACUGGCCCCUGGUUAGUCAGGGGAACAGUGGACAGGCUUGUCUGAGACUUGGCCUGG
This 832-nucleotide long non-coding RNA is filed under the name Rattus norvegicus (Norway rat). Its description in RNAcentral is "long non-coding RNA NONRATT018847". The record is from RNAcentral. Lineage: Eukaryota; Metazoa; Chordata; Mammalia; Rodentia; Muridae.